Non-coding RNA from Cicer arietinum (chickpea), 642 nucleotides. NCBI's taxonomy places the organism in Eukaryota, Viridiplantae, Streptophyta, Magnoliopsida, Fabales, Fabaceae. The record is from RefSeq and is a predicted model, not a curated record.
ACUUUUGGAGAAGUAUUGCACAACACACCGAUCCAUGCGGGCCAUGUCAAAGUACCACCAGUUAUUGCUUUGGAACCAAAUGCACCGUUGUCUAUACCAGACAACGAUGCAGAUAUGAAGUAUUUGGGCGAAGCAAUUGGUAGUUACGUGGCAUGAUCCAAACAUCUUGUUGCCCUUGAUAAGAUUCAGACAAAAUCUAAAGGAAAUGAUAAGAAGAUUCCCAGAAACAAGUCAGUCACAUCGCCGGAAAAGAUUCAAUCCAAUAAACCACCCGCACAGCAAACCAGCUGCCAGAAUAAACCAGUUGCCGCACCACAACUGGAUGUUCGUGGUAAAAAUAAAGCCGACAAACUUCAAAAAUUGGAGGGUAAUAAAGCUGGCAAACUUCAAAAGCCGGAGGGUAAUAAAGCUGCCAAAGUUGCUGCUCAAAAACUAGAUCGGGAAAAAUCAGUUGCUGCUCAUGCUCCUAAAAUAAGUCAACCAUGGCUUGCUCGAUAUGGGUUGUGUCUUGAUAUGGGUAGCAACAAUGAUUCACGCAUCAUAAGCAUAGAUAAAGCUAUAUUCGGAGAUGAGUAUGAAGAACUACUUGAAAAAGAACACAUAUACGAACUUCUCAGCCAUAAGGAGUUGAGUGCUACUGUC